CUGCGGAGGACAUUAAUGAAUACAGAUGCCUGUCGAGCUUGCUCACGGGUUUUCUAUCAUAUCCAUAACACCUGUGCACUUGUUGGAUGUUCUAAAGACGUAGGCUUAAAGCUGAAGUCAAUAGUCAUCCACUUACACUAAACAAUAAUGUAACAAAUGUAGUCUUAUUAUAACAUAAUAAAACUUUCAACAACGGAUCUCUUGGCUCUCGCAUCGAUGAAGAACGCAGCGAAAUGCGAUAAGUAAUGUGAAUUGCAGAAUUCAGUGAAUCAUCGAAUCUUUGAACGCACCUUGCGCUCCUUGGUAUUCCGAGGAGCAUGCCUGUUUGAGUGUCAUGAAAACCCUCAACCUUAGAUUGGUUAUUUGACCUUUCUUUGGCUUGGAUUUGGACGUUUGCCGAUGUCAAGUCGGCUCGUCUUAAAAGUAAUAGCUGGAUCUGUCUCGCGACAUGGUUUGACUUGGCGUAAUAAGUAUUUCGCUAAGGACAUCUUCGGAUGGCCCUGUUGCAGGACUAAAGACCGCUUUCUAAUCCAUUGAUCUUCGGAUUAAUAUUCAUAACAU
This 561-nucleotide unclassified non-coding RNA is filed under the name Cryptococcus sp. G2-20. Its description in RNAcentral is "sequence contains ITS1, 5.8S rRNA gene, ITS2". The stretch from base 182 to 335 matches the Rfam family "5.8S ribosomal RNA". Lineage: Eukaryota; Fungi; Basidiomycota; Tremellomycetes; Tremellales; Cryptococcaceae. The record is from RNAcentral.